Mobula hypostoma (lesser devil ray) is the source of this 68-nucleotide small nucleolar RNA. RefSeq annotates it as small nucleolar RNA U2-30. The record is from RefSeq and is a predicted model, not a curated record. NCBI's taxonomy places the organism in Eukaryota, Metazoa, Chordata, Chondrichthyes, Myliobatiformes, Myliobatidae. The transcript has a single exon.
GAGCAAUGAUGUAAACAUUCACACUGAUUUCUAAAAUUGUGAUGUUCACUACACUUGAACUGAGCUCA